CUUUCAAGUGGAGAAGUCGUUCAAGUUCCACAAAUUAUUUUGAAUUGUGUAAGAGCUCGUGUAGUGGAGCAGUAUAGGAGCUUCUCCUUAGAGUCUGGAGUAGAGAAUGUUGCCAGUGACAGGUCAUAUAUGAGAGUACUAGAGGCCAUUGAGCCAAGAGUAAGGAAAAGCAUGAAAGGGCUAGAUAACUAUGCUGCAGAUGGAGCCAGAGCUAUUGAUGACCUAAAGAAAAUUGUUACUGAGUUGGGGAAGCUGUUGAAGGGAGUGGAGUGGGAAGAUGACAUAAUUCAGAAACUGUCAAUGGGAAACAGUAUCUUAAACUUGAUUAUAAGAUACAUGUUGCAGUUGAGUCAGAAAUUCCUGACCAUUGUUUAAAUUAUGCCCUGUCUUCGAAAGCUUAUGAACAUCAGAUGACUUGUAGCCAUCCCCACAACAAAAUCUGUUCCAGCUGUCAUGAUUUAAGUAACACCAUAGAGCAGAUACAAUGUGCUGCAGAUGAAACACAGUUUGAGGAUGAAGACCAACGAGACGACAUCCAGUACACAUUGGCACAGAGUGUAAAAGCUUUAGAAGAAUGGAAAAAACAUAUACUACGAUCAGUCAAUCAAGAUAGAGCAAGAUCUGACAUAUUGGAAAGCAUAGGUGAAGAUCAAGUACUACUGGAAAGAGAUUGGGCCAUGAAAUUCUUACCGAUGAUGUAUAGAGAAUCGCAGUCAAAAUGGUAUGGAAAAAGAGGUCUAAACUGGCAUUUAACUGUUGGAACUUUCAA
Long non-coding RNA from Saccostrea echinata, 769 nucleotides. RefSeq lists it as uncharacterized. Lineage: Eukaryota; Metazoa; Mollusca; Bivalvia; Ostreida; Ostreidae. The transcript is spliced from 3 exons. The record is from RefSeq and is a predicted model, not a curated record.